This 449-nucleotide ribosomal RNA is filed under the name uncultured bacterium. Its description in RNAcentral is "partial 16S ribosomal RNA". It matches the Rfam family "Bacterial small subunit ribosomal RNA", at positions 29 to 523 of the family's 1533-position model. The record is from RNAcentral.
AAUGAACGCUGGCGGCAGGCCUAACACAUGCAAGUCGAACGGAUCCUUCGGGAUUAGUGGCAGACGGGUGAGUAACGCGUGGGAACAUACCCAAAGGUACGGAAUAGCCUCGGGAAACUGGGAGUAAUACCGUAUGUGCUCGAAAGAGGAAAGAUUUAUCGCCUUUGGAUUGGCCCGCGUUGGAUUAGGUAGUUGGUGGGGUAAUGGCCUACCAAGCCGACGAUCCAUAGCUGGUUUGAGAGGAUGAUCAGCCACACUGGGACUGAGACACGGCCCAGACUCCUACGGGAGGCAGCAGUGGGGAAUCUUAGACAAUGGGGGAAACCCUGAUCUAGCCAUGCCGCGUGAUCGUUGAAGGCCUUAGGGUUGUAAAGAUCUUUCAGGUGGGAAGAUAAUGACUGUACCACCAGAAGAAGCCCCGGCUAACUCCGUGCCAGCCGCCGCAGUAA